This 273-nucleotide long non-coding RNA is filed under the name Helianthus annuus (common sunflower). Its description in RNAcentral is "sRNA HanXRQr2_Chr15g0710471". Lineage: Eukaryota; Viridiplantae; Streptophyta; Magnoliopsida; Asterales; Asteraceae. The record is from RNAcentral.
GUUAUUUCCGUAUUCUUUGAAGCCUGGUAAAACAGUUUUUCUUUUUAAUUUGACUUUUGAAUCUUUGUUUGCAGGUGUUUGAAUCACAAUGUCAAAAUAGUUUGUAAAUUUGAUUGUUAGAUCAUUCCACAUAAUUUGUAGAUCGAACAUGUUAUAGGUAAGUUUAAUCAAGAAUCUAUGAAAAGAUCUAAGACAACACUCUUCAUUCGACAACUAAGGUAUGAAUUGAAUCAGUGGUCUCGAGCUUCUUCUCAGGUCCAUGAAUGUGAUUGA